AAAAUUGCAUUUGGCCUUUGAUUUUUUCUUCUCAAUAGCAAAAUACUCCUUUUUGCUCUUCUAGGGUUUUGACCUCAAGCAAAACACGCCGUCGCCAGACCACCACCAUAUCAGGUGACCGGUAACGCGCGAAAGGCUCCCGUUUCAGACGAAGAACCCGAUCGACGAAGGCUAAACACCGAGGUAAGUACCCCUUUUCUUUUUAUUUAUUUCUUUUAAAAUAGAUUUGAAACCAAAAAUAAGAAAAAAGAUCGAAAGAAAAAAAAAAGAAAAGAGCAUAGAAUCCAAAAACAACCUUUUUUUUUGUUUUUGCUUUUGAUUUCUCGUAUGCGUGUGAAAAUACCAUCUUUUUUGUCUUCCAAAAAUCCCCCAAAUACAAUCGGUUCCCCCUAUUUAUUUUGCUACCCUCUUCUAUUUGUUGCUUGCUGUUUUCUUUCUUUACUUUGCUUGUCUCUCUGCUAUUUUCCUGUUUCGUUUGCUGGUCUAGGCAAAAGUGAUGGGACGGGGUUGGUGCAAGGACGAGCAGAGGGGUCAGGCCUCGAGGCCAGGCGCGGGCGGUGCACUCGAGGCACGUGGGGGAGCAGCGCGGCCCAAAGAGGGGCUCAAAAACCCUAGGGUCUCUGAGUUGGUUUAAGGUCUUGGGCCAUUGGGUCGACAGAAGCUGGGUUUGUUUAUUAUUGUUUGGGCUUGUUAGGCCCGGGCAAAUUUGGGCCCGUACAAUUAUAUUUGAAACUCACCUCUUUAUUUAAGUUACUUUUAUGCAAGAUUAGAAGUGUAAUACAACCAACUUUGAAUCCAAACAAAUUAUUCACUCAAUUAUUUAAUUCGUUCUAUUUAGUCAUCUAAUUAUUAAAUUUUUUCAUUUUACUCAUUUAAUUUUUUGAAAUUAAAUAUUUUAGUCAUUUUUUUAUUAAUUGCCUAACAGUAGUCUAACUUGGUAUUUGUUUUAUUGGCCUAAUAACAAACUAGCCCUUCAAUGUUUACACAUUCUAUCAAUUUAAUCCUAAAUCUAAAAAAUUCAAUAAAUUUAACCUUCAAUGUUUACCAAUUUUACCAUUUUAGUUCUAAUUCCCAAAACUAUAAAACAUAUUUAAAAAAUCUUUAAAAUAUUUUUAUAUUUAUUCAAAAUUUAUAUUUACUUUUUUCAUCAAC
RNAcentral lists this long non-coding RNA (1152 nucleotides) under Gossypium barbadense (sea-island cotton). Its description in RNAcentral is "long non-coding RNA (GBAR_LNC006165)". Lineage: Eukaryota; Viridiplantae; Streptophyta; Magnoliopsida; Malvales; Malvaceae. The record is from RNAcentral.